This 576-nucleotide ribosomal RNA is filed under the name uncultured eukaryote. RNAcentral describes it as "SSU rRNA". It matches the Rfam family "Eukaryotic small subunit ribosomal RNA", at positions 174 to 758 of the family's 1831-position model. The record is from RNAcentral.
UAAAAACCCCGACUUCGGAAGGGGUGUAUUUAUUAGAUACAAAACCAAUGCCCUUCGGGGCUCUUUGGUGAUUCAUGAUAACUAUACGAAUCGCACGGCCUUGCGCCGGCGAUGGUUCAUUCAAAUUUCUUCCCUAUCAACUUUCGAUGUUUGGGUAUUGGCCAAACAUGGUUGCAACGGGUAACGGAGGGUUAGGUCUCGACCCCGGAGAAGGAGCCUGAGAAACGGCUACUACAUCCAAGGAAGGCAGCAGGCGCGCAAAUUACCCAAUCCCGACUCGGGGAGGUAGUGACAAUAAAUACUGAUACAGGGCCCUUUCGGGCCUUGUAAUUGGAAUGAGUACAAUUUAAAUCCCUUAACGAGGAACAAUUGGAGGGCAAGUCUGGUGCCAGCAGCCGCGGUAAUUCCAGCUCCAAUAGCGUAUAUUAAAGUUGUUGUGGUUAAAAAGCUCGUAGUUGAACCUUGGGCCUGGCUGGCCGGUCCGCCUCACCGCGUGCACUGGUCCGGCCGGGCCUUUCCCUCUGUGGAACCCCAUACCCUUCACUGGGCGUGGCGGGGAAACAGGACAUUUACUUU